RNAcentral lists this microRNA precursor (98 nucleotides) under Schmidtea mediterranea. RNAcentral's name for it is "microRNA sme-mir-2156a precursor". The record is from miRBase by way of RNAcentral. Lineage: Eukaryota; Metazoa; Platyhelminthes; Tricladida; Dugesiidae.
UUUUUCAAGUCAUGAAAAUAAAAAGUUUUGGGUCAUAACAUAAAUAAUUUUAAUAUCUUACGGCCCCUAAACUUUUCAUUUUUCAAGAUUCUACAGCA